This 112-nucleotide ribosomal RNA is filed under the name Sulfurisphaera tokodaii. RNAcentral describes it as "partial 23S ribosomal RNA". It matches the Rfam family "Archaeal large subunit ribosomal RNA", at positions 1 to 113 of the family's 2987-position model. Lineage: Archaea; Thermoproteati; Thermoproteota; Thermoprotei; Sulfolobales; Sulfolobaceae. The record is from RNAcentral.
UACCCAGGGGCUGACGCCACCCGGUGGAUGGCUCGGCUUGGGCGCCGAAGAAGGGCGCGGCAAGCUGCGAAAUGCCCGGGUUAGGCGCAAGCAGCCGUUGACCCCGGGAUCC